Molecule: ribosomal RNA, 465 nt
Filed under: Vreelandella stevensii
Lineage: Bacteria; Pseudomonadati; Pseudomonadota; Gammaproteobacteria; Oceanospirillales; Halomonadaceae
Description: partial 16S ribosomal RNA
Rfam family: Bacterial small subunit ribosomal RNA
Source: RNAcentral
CCUACGGGAGGCAGCAGUGGGGAAUAUUGGACAAUGGGCGAAAGCCUGAUCCAGCCAUGCCGCGUGUGUGAAGAAGGCCUUCGGGUUGUAAAGCACUUUCAGUGGGGAAGAAAGCCUUGGGGCUAAUACCCUCGAGGAAGGACAUCACCCACAGAAGAAGCACCGGCUAACUCCGUGCCAGCAGCCGCGGUAAUACGGAGGGUGCGAGCGUUAAUCGGAAUUACUGGGCGUAAAGCGCGCGUAGGCGGUCUGAUAAGCCGGUUGUGAAAGCCCCGGGCUCAACCUGGGAACGGCAUCCGGAACUGUCAGGCUAGAGUGCAGGAGAGGAAGGUAGAAUCCCCGGUGUAGCGGUGAAAUGCGUAGAGAUCGGGAGGAAUACCAGUGGCGAAGGCGGCCUUCUGGACUGACACUGACGCUGAGGUGCGAAAGCGUGGGUAGCAAACAGGAUUAGAUACCCGAGUAGUC